This 630-nucleotide ribosomal RNA is filed under the name Neorhizobium alkalisoli. RNAcentral's name for it is "bacterial SSU rRNA". It matches the Rfam family "Bacterial small subunit ribosomal RNA", at positions 118 to 779 of the family's 1533-position model. The record is from RNAcentral. Lineage: Bacteria; Pseudomonadati; Pseudomonadota; Alphaproteobacteria; Hyphomicrobiales; Rhizobiaceae.
CGGGAACCGAGCUACCCAUCCCUACGGAACAACUCCGGGAAACUGGAGCUAAUACCGUAUACGCCCUUUGGGGGAAAGAUUUAUCGGGGAUGGAUGAGCCCGCGUUGGAUUAGCUAGUUGGUGGGGUAAAGGCCUACCAAGGCGACGAUCCAUAGCUGGUCUGAGAGGAUGAUCAGCCACAUUGGGACUGAGACACGGCCCAAACUCCUACGGGAGGCAGCAGUGGGGAAUAUUGGACAAUGGGCGCAAGCCUGAUCCAGCCAUGCCGCGUGAGUGAUGAAGGUCUUAGGAUUGUAAAGCUCUUUCACCGGAGAAGAUAAUGACGGUAUCCGGAGAAGAAGCCCCGGCUAACUUCGUGCCAGCAGCCGCGGUAAUACGAAGGGGGCUAGCGUUGUUCGGAAUUACUGGGCGUAAAGCGCACGUAGGCGGAUAUUUAAGUCAGGGGUGAAAUCCCAGAGCUCAACUCUGGAACUGCCUUUGAUACUGGGUAUCUUGAGUAUGGAAGAGGUAAGUGGAAUUGCGAGUGUAGAGGUGAAAUUCGUAGAUAUUCGCAGGAACACCAGUGGCGAAGGCGGCUUACUGGUCCAUUACUGACGCUGAGGUGCGAAAGCGUGGGGAGCAAACAGGAUU